This is a long non-coding RNA of Hibiscus syriacus, 513 nucleotides long. RefSeq lists it as uncharacterized. NCBI's taxonomy places the organism in Eukaryota, Viridiplantae, Streptophyta, Magnoliopsida, Malvales, Malvaceae. The record is from RefSeq and is a predicted model, not a curated record. The transcript has 3 exons.
UCUUUUUUAAUUCGCUUCGUCCAUUCAAUUGAUUUUCGUCAGCCAUAAAUCGCUUCUGCAAAUUUCCAUCUUAUGUUUUAUUAAUUUUUUUUGUUUUGGGUUUUUGGCUGCAUCUGUUUACCCUCUCCUUUUUGUAGUAAAAUCAAUGUUAAAGGAGAUAUAACGGAUGCGAACAAUGAAAGGUUGAAAGACUAUCGUUGUACUGAGAAACAGGUUGUAGACUACUACUGGACCAAGAAGACAUCACAAGCUUCGGUAUUGAUUCUCCCAUUACUGCUAAGACAUUUGUAAUCAUGCUGGAGUGGACUGGAUUUAAGCUGGCUAUAGGUCUAACUAGAGGAAAGCACUGACGUCCGAACACUUGAAGAAAUGAAUAAUCUGCUUGUUUUUUUGCAUUUUUUUCGAAUGGUAUUAGCCCUUCACAAGCUGUUUGUCGGUAACCUGUUAAUGAGAAACACCGUAGUACAAAAAGCAUCAGUCCAAAACUUAAAAGGUGAAGAAGCUUGUGCCAUA